This is a long non-coding RNA of Brassica napus (rape), 1936 nucleotides long. RefSeq lists it as uncharacterized. The record is from RefSeq and is a predicted model, not a curated record. The transcript is spliced from 2 exons. NCBI's taxonomy places the organism in Eukaryota, Viridiplantae, Streptophyta, Magnoliopsida, Brassicales, Brassicaceae.
CCAAUAUUGGGCUUAAAGGUCCAAUAGUUGAUUCUUCUCUGUUGAAUUCUAGGUCUCCUUCAUAUGUGUCCAUCCAUAACUCACUGAAACAAACAAGCAAUCGCUCCAAAACAAGAUAAGAAUUUGGAGGACGAACAAACUUUUGGGCUUACGUUUCUUUAAGCCCACCAAAAGUUAAAUACUUGGGCCACACAAAACCAUUUAGUUCCUUCUACUUUUGUAAUUUAUUUAAAUACGCAUAUUUUGUGAAAAUUGCAAGAAAAAAAUCUUUACUUGUGAAAUGGAUUUUCUUCAAAAUAAAAAAUGCUUGUAUAAUAUUGGGAUUUAGUUGAGCAUCUAAGAAAACUUUACUUACUCGAGCUUAAACGUCUCACAAUGACACAUUCCAUGUAAAAGUGUUGUAUUUGACAUCUUAAAAAUAUCUAGACUGAUAUUAGUAUAUUACCUCAUUUAUUUUUUUUCUACUUCGAUUGUGUGUCUAAUUGUGAUACGUUUUUGAAUUUUAGUUCUAUUUAUUGCUCAAUAUUUGAGUAGGAAGUAGCACGUUUAAAGGUACGAAUCUUGACACUAAAACAGAAAAAAAAAAGAUAUAUAUAGAGACCAUCCCCUAAAAACCUUUCUCUCUCGCGAAGAAGAAAGCGAACAGCCGCCGCCUAAGCAAACCUAACUCCGGUCCGGCGUUUGCCGGUGCCGGAGGCCCCUCUAAUCCCUUAUUUCUCUGUUUUCCUUUGCUCUAUUCUCUACUGCCUCUCUCUGUCGAUAUAUUAGCGGUUCUGGGUCACCUUAGACCUAACCGGAGAUGUGUCUUCUUCUUAACGGAGACGGUCUUUGGCUGUAUCUGGAGCAGCGGUGAGACUCAUGAGUAGGCAGAGGAGGAGGGAGUCGGCUUUUAGGGAGGUUGGAUAAAUCAGAUCUGGUUUUCAAUCUUCAGAUCCAUGGUGAGUCCAACUCGGCGAUGGCGCAUAAAUAUGGAAGACAACUCCUUCACAGUGGAUCUCCCUUCCAAUGGGACAAUGAGACACAGAGGAGAUUUUCGAUGGAGAGUGGAAGGCGAUUUGCUACCUGAUUCUUGGGUCAAUCGUAGGAGAUUACCUGGUCGUCGGUACAUGGUGGGGCUCAUACCAACGCUGGUGAGGAAUUCCUACCCUAGCGGGUGGUACGAGCUCGACAUCGUUGGAAACAAUAUCUGGCCUAUUGGUUUGUGCUUUGUAGUCAAGACCCGUCUUUUGUCGUCUGACAUUCUGGUUCAUCGUUUGUGGCUAAAGAGUGUGCCAGUGCCGUAGGUUCUGAGGCCGACACAGGAAUGCGCCUCUGAGUUUAGAAGUCUGGCAGUCGCAGUGAGGCUCAGUUUCGUUGUUUGGUGUUUGACAAUUUCAGUCGCAAAUUUCUCUUCCUGUUUUGGCUUCUAUCUAGGUAAAUAGUGGACGUCAAAGAGUGCGGUCCAGCCGUAUCCGAAAGUUGUGUGUAUCGUGAAGCGAUUCCUCUUAUCGGGUUAUGAAGUCGUGGUUCUUGGUUACGAGUGGGGAUGGUAUCGUUCGGCAGGCCAUAGGCGGCAGCGAUAAAUUCGAGUUGGGAAGACGUAGAGUCUUGGGUUCUACAAGUGGAGUGUAUCGUAUGGUUGGCCGAGGGCAGCAUCGAUACUUCCAGAUCAUUGCUUUGUGCUAUUCACGAGGUUUAUUGCUUUGGAUUGUUCUAUGCUUUGUGUAGUUGGUUUUAACUUGUUGUUUUUAGUUGGUGUUUCUAGUUUCUUUGCUUUGAUUGGUUGUGUUGUGUUGUGGUCGUAAGUCACUCCGGUGUGGGUUUUAGCUGCCUGUUGUUUGGGCUCUUGCUUCUGGGGACGUUGUAUUAUCCGCCAGUUUGUGUAUCAGAACGUGUGUUUCACAUGGAAUGAAAUUUUAUUCGACGGAAAAAAAAAGAGACCAUCAAUUUAUUUCAA